RNAcentral lists this unclassified non-coding RNA (254 nucleotides) under Glomeraceae sp. RNAcentral describes it as "partial contains 5.8S ribosomal RNA and internal transcribed spacer 2". The stretch from base 1 to 71 matches the Rfam family "5.8S ribosomal RNA", at positions 84 to 154 of the family's 154-position model. The record is from RNAcentral. Lineage: Eukaryota; Fungi; Glomeromycota; Glomeromycetes; Glomerales; Glomeraceae.
GUGAAUCAUCAAAUUUUUGAACGCAAAUUGCGCUUCCUGGCAUCCCGGGGAGUAUGCCUGUUUGAGGGUCAGUAUUAAUAAAGAAGCGGUUUAGUUACAAUUUGUGAGGUGUCCGGGGUGUGGGUGAUCUGAAUAUUUUUGGUUAAGAGGCUUAAAAGUGACCUUUUAUGCGCAUUUUUAAACGUACAUAAAUUUUUUUUAUUCGACUAUUCUUAAUGAAAAAAUCUUGUUAGAUGCAAUCAUAUAGUGUGGCU